RNAcentral lists this ribosomal RNA (133 nucleotides) under uncultured bacterium. RNAcentral's name for it is "partial 16S ribosomal RNA". The record is from RNAcentral.
GUACCGUCAGAGCAAAGGGGUAUUAUUCCCCUUACUUGUUCUUCCUUCUCCACAGUGCUUUACGAUCCGAAGACCUUCAUCACACACGCGGCGUGGCUGGAUCAGGCUUUCGCCCAUUGUCCAAUAUUCCCCA